This 438-nucleotide ribosomal RNA is filed under the name uncultured bacterium. Its description in RNAcentral is "partial 16S ribosomal RNA". It matches the Rfam family "Bacterial small subunit ribosomal RNA", at positions 28 to 507 of the family's 1533-position model. The record is from RNAcentral.
AACGAACGCUGGCGGCAUGCCUAACACAUGCAAGUCGAACGAGACCUUCGGGUCUAGUGGCGCACGGGGGCGUAACGCGUGGGAACCUGCCCUUAGGUUCGGAAUAACUCCCCGAAAGGUGUGCUAAUACCGGAUAAUGUCUUCGGACCAAAGAUCUAGCGCCGCGGGAUGGGCCCGGGUUGGAUUAGCGUGUUGGUGGGGUAGUGGCCUACCAAGGCGACGAUGGGGAGCUGGUCUGAGAGGAUGACCGGCGACACUGGGACUGAGAUACGGCACAGACGCCGACGGGAGGCAGCAGUGGGGAAUAGUGCAGAAUGGGCGGAAGCCUGAUGCAGCAACGCCGCGUGCGGGAUGAAGGCCUGCGGGUUGUAAACCGCUUUCGCCUGUGACGAAGCGUGAGUGACGGUAAUGGGUAAAGAAGCACCGGCUAACUACGUG